RNAcentral lists this unclassified non-coding RNA (263 nucleotides) under Hevea brasiliensis (rubber tree). Lineage: Eukaryota; Viridiplantae; Streptophyta; Magnoliopsida; Malpighiales; Euphorbiaceae. The record is from RNAcentral.
AGAAUCCUUGUGCCAAAAAAUUGGUGCCUUUGAUCACUUGGGAGAUUUUACUGGGUUUUCUUACACUGCCUCUGAGUUUGAAGAACUCCCGGCAUUGCAGAAAUCAGUGGCAUUACAACGGAUGACAAUUUUAUCCAGGGUCGAACCAUCCCACAAAAGGAUGCUGGUUGAAGCAUUACAGAAUCAAAAUGAAGUGGUUGCAAUGACUGGAGAUGGAGUAAAUGAUGCACCUGCACUGAAGAAAGCAAACAUUGGAAUUGCCA